This 292-nucleotide ribosomal RNA is filed under the name uncultured bacterium. Its description in RNAcentral is "partial 16S ribosomal RNA". It matches the Rfam family "Archaeal small subunit ribosomal RNA", at positions 455 to 747 of the family's 1478-position model. The record is from RNAcentral.
GUGCAGCAGCCGCGGUAAUACCGGCAGCUCAAGUGAUGUCCCAUAUUAUUGGGCCUAAAGCGUCCGUAGCUGGCCGACCAAGUCUCCCGGGAAAUCCACCCGCUCAACGGGUGGGCGUCCGGUAGAAACUGGCCGGCUUGGAACCGGAAGGCUCAGAGAGUACGUCCGGGGUAGGAGUGAAAUCCUGUAAUCCCGCACGGACCACCGAUGGCGAAAGCACCUCGAGAAGACGGCUCCGACGGUGAGGGACGAAAGCCAGGGUCUCGAACCGGAUUAGAUACCCGAGUAGUCC